GGUCCUGUAGCUCAGCGGGAGAGCACUACGUUGACAUCGUAGGGGUCACUGGUUCAAUCCCAGUCGGGACCACCA
This 75-nucleotide transfer RNA is filed under the name Azospirillum brasilense. RNAcentral describes it as "tRNA-Val". It matches the Rfam family "tRNA". From Rfam's summary of the family: Transfer RNA (tRNA) molecules are approximately 80 nucleotides in length. Their secondary structure includes four short double-helical elements and three loops (D, anti-codon, and T loops). Lineage: Bacteria; Pseudomonadati; Pseudomonadota; Alphaproteobacteria; Rhodospirillales; Azospirillaceae. The record is from RNAcentral. RNAcentral also lists the same sequence under 16 other names.